This 460-nucleotide ribosomal RNA is filed under the name NC10 bacterium enrichment culture clone CSTR 3-13. RNAcentral's name for it is "bacterial SSU rRNA". It matches the Rfam family "Bacterial small subunit ribosomal RNA", at positions 977 to 1434 of the family's 1533-position model. Lineage: Bacteria; Methylomirabilota (SeqCode). The record is from RNAcentral.
GGGCUUGACAUCCCACGAACCUGCCUGAAAGGGCGGGGUGCCCGCAAGGGAGCGCGGGGACAGGUGGUGCAUGGCUGUCGUCAGCUCGUGUCGUGAGAUGUUGGGUUAAGUCCCGCGACGAGCGCAACCCUCACCCCUAGUUGCCACCGGGUCAUGCCGAGCACUCAAGGGGAACUGCCAGCGUCAAGCUGGAGGAAGGCGGGGAUGACGUCAAGUCAUCAUGCCCCUUACGCCCUGGGCUACACACGUGCUACAAUGGCCGGUACAAAGGGAUGCGAGACCGCGAGGUGGAGCUAAUCCCAAAAAGCUGGUCUAAGUUCAGAUUGCAGUCUGCAACUCGACUGCAUGAAGGAGGAAUCGCUAGUAAUCGCGCAUCAGCCCGGCGCGGUGAAUACGUUCCCGGGCCUUGAACACACCGCCCGUCACACCACGAAAGCUGUCUGUACUCGAAGUCGCUGAG